UCUCAGAAUUUCUGAUUGGUCCGUCUGUUGUUAACAGGGAAAUAAUGGAUUCAGAGGCAUCAUUGGUGUCCCUGGCUACACAGGGCUGCCGGGAGCAAGGGGUCCUCCUGGUUUUCCAGGAUUAUCAGGAUUUACGGGAGAGAUUGGAUCUGAAGGCUUUGGUGGACGACCAGGUCCACCUGGUAAAAUGGGUCCAUGGGGAUUAAAAGGUGUCCUUGGAGUUAACGGACCUCCGGGUCAUCAAGGUGAACUGGGCCCAAGAGGAGCAGCUGGACCACAGGGCGAGCAUGGUCCUGAUGGAGCAGUCUCUUCUCCCGGUGUCCGUGGCCCUCAGGGCAAUCCAGGACCAGAUGGACCUCCAGGUCCUAAAGGAGACCCUGGCAAUCCAGGAGAUGAAGGGGACAUUGGGGACCCGAACUCCUG
Gasterosteus aculeatus aculeatus (three-spined stickleback) is the source of this 423-nucleotide non-coding RNA. NCBI's taxonomy places the organism in Eukaryota, Metazoa, Chordata, Actinopteri, Perciformes, Gasterosteidae. The record is from RefSeq and is a predicted model, not a curated record.